Molecule: RNA transcript, 1805 nt
Organism: Harpia harpyja (harpy eagle)
Lineage: Eukaryota; Metazoa; Chordata; Aves; Accipitriformes; Accipitridae
Gene name: low density lipoprotein receptor adapter protein 1-like
Exons: 10
Source: RefSeq, a predicted model, not a curated record
UCCGGCAUGGAGGCGCUGCGGGCGGCGGGGCGCGCCGUGCUGCGGAGCCCGCGCCUCGCCCGGCACGGCCUGGGGCUCCGCCGGCGGCGUAGGAUGGAGGACUAAAGCUUUGAUGGUGAAUUGUCCUCUCAUUCUGCUCCUCUUCCAAGAAUGUCACAGAGCCAGAAGAGUGCCCUGCUGAGUGCAGAGCUUCCCGAGAGCUGGGCUGAUAUGCAGGAGCCGCUGCUUGAGGGGAUGUGCUUCACACUCAAGUAUCUAGGCAUGACGCUGGUAGAAAAACCCAAAGGAGAAGACAUGGCUGCUGCUGCCAUCCGCAGGAUUGUGGCCAUGGCACGGGUGGGAGCUCGCAAGUUCCAGAAGGUGAUUCUGACAGUGUCUCCGAGGGGCAUUUCGCUGCAGGAUGCAGACACAAAGGAGAUGGUUGAGAACAUCUCCAUCUACAGGAUCUCCUACUGCACAACAGACAAGCUGCAGAACAAAGUCUUCGCCUAUGUUGCCCAGAGCCAGGACAGCGGUGCACUGGAGUGCCAUGCUUUCCUCUCACCCAAAAAGAAGAUUGCCCAGGCUGUGACUCUGACCGUGGCCCAGGCCUUCCAGAUGGCACUGGAUCUCUGGGAAGCAGCACAUGCAGGCUCUAGGCAGGAACGGCCCCUUCACCCUUCAUGUGUCUUGGAGAGCAGUGAGCCCGGCAGACCAAGACCCUGUCGGUAUCUGCGCAGCCUCCCUCGCACAUGGCGGCCUGAUGUGAAGAGAGGCACUGUGCUCUGUCUGGCUCACGAGGCAGGCGCAGUUUCUCAGGUGGUCUUUGCUCCAGCUCUCCUGUCAGGCCCAGCAUUGCUGCAGCCCUCAGCCCUGCUCUGCUGGCACUGUCAGACAGGGAGCUGGGACCUGCUCUGCACGCUUGGUGCCAUGAUUAGGGGUGAGACACUGUCUCUGAAGAAGAGGACCCUUUGGUCAUCAUCUUGCCAGCCUGGGCUAAGGCUCAGCCCUGCCCAUCUGCACUAUACCUACUGCAUGUCCAGAGCCAAUCAGAGCAUUGCCAGUGUUGCCGGUCUCACUGCCCAGGAGCCUCUGGAUGCUUGGUCCUUGGCCUCAUGCUUCCAGUGCUGGCCCAGCCUGGCAGUGCUUGGGGUCCUACUUGCUUACAACCUGCUCCUGGGUGGUCCUCUGCCUGGCCCUCCAGCUGCAAGGUGUGCUCACCCCUCUCCUGUCUCUGGGCAAAGGUGUGCUGUGUGCAGCAGCUGUCUCAGCUUGUUCCCCACUCACAGCCUGUGUUUGGUGCUUUGCUGGCUGGAGGGGAUGUAAGAAGUGCCAUGGUCUGUCUCUCCUCUUGUGUGGCUGUGUGCCUGGGCCCAGAGGAUUUCAGCAGCCCAGCACUGCAGGUGCCAUCUCUCCCCCUACUGUCUGUAGGCACCCUUUGUCUAUGCCAUGCCUGGUGGGUGACUGUGCCUUGUGAAGGGGCCAGGGACUGCCCUGCUGCUCCAGAACAGGCUCUGGGCAGCCCAGCCUCGCUCCUGGCAGAGACGUGCCCAGGCAGUGAGGUGUCAUGGUGGUUUUUUUUUGUUUUGUUUUGUUUGUUUGUUUGCCAGGAGGAGGAAGAGGAGGAGGAAGAUGAUAACAUCGGUGAAAACUUAUCUGGGCCUUGCUUGGGGUAUGAUGGGUGCUGUGUUCUCUUCCAAAGCAGCAUGGAGGAGGUGGGGAAGGGAGCCCACAGCCCAGCAGAGUCAGCAUUUCUUGUGCCCAGGGCAAGCUCUCCUACUGCACAGCUACUGUGCUACCACUUGGGGCAUGCCCCAGACAGCUGG